GAUAUUUGGAGCUGCUUGAAUAAUUCAUGACAGAGCUUAACUGUUUCUUUUUACCUGAUACUUAUUUAAAAGCAAUUUUUCUCCUUUUGUGACAAUAUUUGCUAAUGCACUUUGGUAUAUGACAACAGAGGGAAAGCAUAAGUAUCACCUCCUUUUAAUACCGAUCAUGGAACUUUAUUGAAACAAGCAAAACCGUAAAGGCUCAACAGUUCCUGUUUUAUUGGACGUCUGCAGAGAUGAGUGCUAAUGUCUUCUCCAGCCUGUUCUGCUCAGCUCCCUGCUCGUAUGCUCGUCACAAGCAGGUUACCGAGUCCCUGCUGAAGCCGAAGGGGAGGGAUGCUGUUCGCCCCAGCCUGAGAAGCAGCAGGGAGGAGGUAAGGUGAAUCUGUACAUGAUCAGCAAGCCGUGCACCUGGCAGUGAUGUCCUGAGUGCUGGUUGAACAAAGGCUCAUAUUUUUAUUUGUUUUUGUCAUUUGAAAGAAAAGAGCUGGGAGAGCGAGAAUAUUAGCAAUUUACUGUGAGGCUCCAUUAGAUCAAAUCAGCG
RNAcentral lists this long non-coding RNA (544 nucleotides) under Anas zonorhyncha (Eastern spot-billed duck). RNAcentral's name for it is "lncRNA (ENSAZOG00000008829.1)". Lineage: Eukaryota; Metazoa; Chordata; Aves; Anseriformes; Anatidae. The record is from RNAcentral.